CGAGCCUCACCUUCGGCCACAACGGCUCCUGGAGGGAGAGAGAAAGAGGGAGGGCCUGACUCACAGAGGCCUAGGAGGGAGAGGCCCAGCCCUGGGGCCCCCCGGCCCCCUCAGCCUGCCUCCAGCCGUGCCACAAGGCCACGUGUCUGUGUUUACGUGUUUAUUGUCCGCUGGCUCCCGCUGCCCUCAAGAAUGCCAGAGCCCGAAAUAGCUGGGCACUGAAGCCCAAUUAUCCGAAGCCGCUGCAGUCUAGGACACACAGAGUUCCAGGAGGCAGAAGGCCUUGAUAGAGGCAGUGACAGAGUCGCGGAGUCAAGAUGGAGACAGCAGCAGCCACAGGGACUAGAGA
Molecule: long non-coding RNA, 349 nt
Organism: Capra hircus (goat)
Lineage: Eukaryota; Metazoa; Chordata; Mammalia; Artiodactyla; Bovidae
Exons: 3
Source: RefSeq, a predicted model, not a curated record